This 544-nucleotide ribosomal RNA is filed under the name uncultured Gigasporaceae. RNAcentral's name for it is "SSU rRNA". It matches the Rfam family "Eukaryotic small subunit ribosomal RNA", at positions 548 to 1098 of the family's 1831-position model. Lineage: Eukaryota; Fungi; Glomeromycota; Glomeromycetes; Diversisporales; Gigasporaceae. The record is from RNAcentral.
UUGGAGGGCAAGUCUGGUGCCAGCAGCCGCGGUAAUUCCAGCUCCAAUAGCGUAUAUUAAAGUUGUUGCAGUUAAAAGCUCGUAGUUGAAUUUCGGGGUUCUACCGUUGGUCGGGCAAUAGUCUGUACUGGCGUGUAGAAUUUCUACCUUCUGGGGAACUAUCAUGUUAUUUAUUUAGCGUGGUAGGAAACCAGGACCUUUACCUUGAAAAAAUUAGAGUGUUCAAAGCAGGCUUACGUCUGAAUACAUUGGCAUGGAAUAAUAAAAUAGGACGGUGGUCCUGUUUUGUUGGUUUCUGAAUCACCGUAAUGAUUAAUAGGGAUAGUUGGGGGCAUUAGUAUUCAAUUGUCAGAGGUGAAAUUCUUGGAUUUAUUGAAGACUAACUUCUGCGAAAGCAUUUGCCAAGGAUGUUUUCAUUAAUCAAGAACGAAAGUUAGGGGAUCGAAGACGAUCAGAUACCGUCGUAGUCUUAACCAUAAACUAUGCCGACUAGGGAUCGGACGAUGUUAAUUUUUCUUGACUCGUUCGGCACCUUACGGGAAAC